CCCCAAUCCCCACGCACGCCCGCACCCCUCCCUCCUCCCUCGCUCGUCUCAGCCGCCACCCCCACGAACCCUAGCCGCCACCCCCACGAACCCUUAGCCGCUCCCUUCCUUCAUCCGUCCUCCUCCCCCUCCCUGCUACGAGCCCCUCCCCGGCGGCCGCGAGCUCCUCCUCCUCCGUUCUCGCUUGCUCCAACCCGAGCACGCUGGCGGAGACACGAACCGUGAGGCCCCGGAGCAGUUCAGCCAGCACCGCAAGACCCCGGAGCAGUUCAUCCAGUACAGAUCCCCUCCGUACAAGAGGAAACCCGUGGCCAAUCCAGCCAACAACGACGACGCGUAGGAGAGCUCGACCUUGAUGAGGAAAGCAGCGGGGUUGGUGCAGCAGCGAAGGUCGGGGUCGGCCGUGGAGGGAGGCUUGCUGGCCGAAGCAGCAAGAGCAAGAAGGUUGAGGUGGUUCAGAAACUGAAUGCAUAUAAGAAUCGAGGACCUUCACAGUGGCUUCAUGAUGAUGAUCAUCUACCGAGGCAUCAAGAUGAGCACAUACAUCAUCUUGGACAAGCAGAUGUGAAUUUCUUCUCGCAUCCCGAGUACAUAUGUGAGGCUAUGGGAGUACUUUUUCAUGUGAUGAUGGGAGGAACGAAUUGUACCAUGUGAACAAUCGCUGGUAGUUUUGAAGGUUUCUUCCCAGAGUGGCUUAUCAAUUAUUUGGUCCUGCACACCCUAAUUAGGAUUGGAAUAAGCUGGUCAAUGCAGGAAACUCUGAAAGAAAGCGACUAAAAUCAACAUUUGAAGUUCAUCGAAAAAUGAAGAGGAUCAUGCCUUUCUGUUGGAAUUGCUUUUCUGGUUUAAGCAAUCAUUCAGGUUAUUGAAAUACUCUGAUGCCUCUUUUCUUCGGUCAUUACUAAUGAUGAGUGUCGUGUGUCUGAUACGGUUUCAUGAGAGUAAUUACCAGUAGUGAGAGCUUUCAGAUUAGGGAUUACGAAUAUGAAGUAGAUGUGCCUUAUAUAUAGACGCCUAACAAUUAAAAAACUAAUACUUAUCUCUAAUCAUCCUUACAUGCAUACAUGCAUGCGAGAUAUCUCUGUUUUCAGACCCUCUCUCUGUUACACAUUUCCAUGAAAAAACAAAAGUAAAAGGGAAAACUCACUUUUGGUUCAUAUGGUGCAGACCAGCAAGCGAUUGUUAAUGAAAGGUUUGAUUUGCAGGUAUACUGAAAUCAAGGUCUUUUAUCUAACUGGUUGGAUAACUACUUUUCAGGUCUAUGCCUUUAACUAAAAUUAAGCAUUUAAUUACUGUUCUGUUGUGUUAUUGAUUUCACCGCUUUUAUGUCAGCCGAUUAGUUCUGAAGGAUUCCACAACGGCUAAUUUAGAUUAUGCAACUUUCGACCAAAAAUAAUUAUUGACAUGUAUAUUUAUCAAGAUCUUUUAUCUAAUUGGUUGGAUAACUACUUUUCAGCUUCAACAUUUGGCUCAUUCUUGUUUUUGGUAAUGUUUUCUUGAUAGUGGAGCAGUCAUGGACCUGUUAUAGAGAUCUUGGUGAAAAACUUGUCACUGCAAUUCAGUCAAAUGGGUGUUGAGAUUGAAGUUUCUGCUUUUGUUGACUUUCUGAUAAAUUACAAAAACAUCGACAAGGUAAAGUUAUGCUUCCUUGCUGUCCGAUGUAUCAUGUUUUUCAUGGUAAAGGAAUGGCAAUUUAUAUGUCUGUAGGUUAUGUGGGAGCCUUUUAUAGAGUCCUCAUGUUUUCAGUUAAAUAUACUUCGAAAAUGUGUUUUUCAUGCACUGGAUGUAUCUCCCAGUACUGUGGUGUCGCUAAAUUCAAGCAAGCAGCUUAAUGUUAACAUAUCAGAGCCCUUCAUCGAGGUACAUGAUCUUGGCAUACUGUAUUUUUCAAACUUGUCAAGAGAUAAAUUAUUGUUCUGUCCUAUCUUCAAGUGAUUAACAUUAUAGUUUUCUGCUGCCACUGUCAUCUUGAUUAAUGUGAUUCAGGAAUCAGGGCAGUGGUCUGCGGAUAGAAUGUAGCUAUAUAUCUUAUCUCGGGGAGCAUCACACCUAUUUAGCUUAGAAGUUUUUUUUCUUACAUUAAACUCAGCAGUGUGUGAUAAUUCGAGACAAGGGGAUUGAUGAUGACACAGACUCAGUCUUAGGGCUUGGCUUCUUACCGGUGGAGAGCUCCUCCAUGUUUAAAAUAGCAUGUUUUAGUUCUGAUUACAACCAUAUAGGUAUUCAUGUAUAAGAUUGUUUGCUUUCAGUUCUGGUUAAAUCAUCUUGGAUGAUCAAUCAAAUUUCCAGUGAUGAUACUCUAGCCUUCAUCGAGGUACAUGAUCUUGGCAUACUGUAUUUUUCAAACUUGUCAAGAGAUAAAUUAUUAUUCUGUCCUAUCUUCAAGUGAUUAACAUUAUAGUUUUCUGCUGCCACUGUCAUCUUGAUUAAUGUGAUUCAGGAAUCAGGGCAGUGGUCUGCAGAUAGAAUGUGGCUAUAUAUCUUAUCUCGAGGAGCAUCACACCUAUUUAGCUUAGAAGUUUUUUUUCUUACAUUAAACUCAGCAGUGUGUGAUAAUUCGAGACAAGGGGAUUGAUGAUGACAGAGACUCAGUCUUAGGGCUUGGCUUCUUACCGGUGGAGAGCUCCUCCAUGUUUAAAAUAGCGUGUUUUAGUUCUGAUUACAGCCAUAUAGGUAUUCAUGUAUAAGAUUGUUUGCUUUCAGUUCUGGUUAAAUCAUCUUGGAUGAUCAAUCAAAUUUCCAGUGAUGAUAAUCUAGCGGAUCAGGCUUCUAAACCACUAUCACUUUCCUGACAGAAGUUGUGCAUGUAGUACAUGUUUUCGGUUUAGCAAAGCUCUUUUUUAGUUAGAGAUCAAUUUUGAAGACUAACAUGUCAUAUGAAUGCCACCAGCUUAUUAGCAAAAGCCUUGAUCUUUCCAAUUUUGUAGGUUGAGGGAAUACUUUGCUACUUCAAAAUCUCCAGAUAAAAGUUGAAGAAUUCGUACGAUAAUCGAUUGGAAACAUAUAUCUAGCAGUUCAUUUUUUUCAUGCGCACAAUGGGAUAAAUUGAUGUAACACAAGCCUUUACAAUUUAGUGCUGUUGUUAUAGAAUCGGGAGACUUGCUUUGUUACCGUACUUAGAGUUGCCGAUUUCUUACUAUAGUAAUAGCCAGGAAGGUUUGUAGUCAACUUAUCUGCAGUUGUAAUUAGUCGACUUAUGCUGCUUAAAUUAUUGUUCUUUGGUGACCAGUGAA
This is a non-coding RNA of Aegilops tauschii subsp. strangulata, 3233 nucleotides long. NCBI's taxonomy places the organism in Eukaryota, Viridiplantae, Streptophyta, Magnoliopsida, Poales, Poaceae. The record is from RefSeq and is a predicted model, not a curated record.